Molecule: long non-coding RNA, 847 nt
Filed under: Nicotiana benthamiana
Lineage: Eukaryota; Viridiplantae; Streptophyta; Magnoliopsida; Solanales; Solanaceae
Description: long non-coding RNA (NBEN_LNC037794)
Source: RNAcentral
AACAAUAAAUAUCUAUUAUGUGGCACCACGUACAUGUUAUCCAAUUCAAUUCCUUCUUUCUCGAUAGUUCUACCAUUGUCCCUUCUUUUAUAUAUAGGAUAUCCAUCUUCAUCAAUUGUGGUAUUUUCUACAAACUUCUUUGGAAGUGUUUUGUACAUCUACCAUUACGCAUGCAAGGAGAGGAUUUUCUAGCAGAACCACACGGGUCAUGCAUCAUGAAAUUCUUCACAGCCUUAUAAUAAUACGGAUCAACCGAUUCAUCAGGUAUUUCUGCAAAAAUUAUUUGAUCAAUAUCUCCAACAUUAGGAUAUUUAUUAUGAAAAAAGAGCAAUAUGUGUGCAUGAGGCAACCCUCGCUUUUGGAAUUCUAUAGUAUAUAUCACUGCAAAUAAUAAUUAUUUGCGAUUGGGGUAAGUGGUUGUAGUUUAUAUGUAAGACAAAAUGAUUUAUUCAAUUAGAUUAUAAAAAUUAAAAGAAUUUAUUUAAAAAGAUGAAAUGUAUACCUGAUUUAACUGAUCCAAAAAUUUGUUUCUAUUUCAAAUCCUUUAGUAAACGAUCCAAUUUGAUCGUGAACACCCUAGCUAAAAUGUCUGGGCGAUCUUUUGGUUGCAAGCCUUUGCUCUUUACAAAUCUACUAAUUUCAGGCCACUUUGGAUUGCAAGUAAAUGUGAUGAAGAGAUUUGGAUAUCCAGCCCACUUGCAAAUUGCCAUAGCAUCUUGAUAAUUUUGGAUCAUGUAUCUUGCACCUCAUGUGAAGCUGGAUGAAAGAAUUAUCCUUUUACCUUGAGAAGAAGGAUUUAUCUCUCCAUGUAAAACUGCAUCUUCUAAUCCUUUAUACAUAUGAGCUC